Molecule: RNA transcript, 1620 nt
Organism: Microcebus murinus (gray mouse lemur)
Lineage: Eukaryota; Metazoa; Chordata; Mammalia; Primates; Cheirogaleidae
Gene: CHPT1
Gene name: choline phosphotransferase 1
Source: RefSeq, a predicted model, not a curated record
CGCAGGGGCGGCGGCCGGCGAGCGCUCCGCGCGGCGCGCGUGCGGGCCCACCGGCCAGUGCCCCGGCGCAGCCCCGCCGCGAGCCCGCCCCGCUCUCCCGCCCCGCGCUCGGCGCGGCCGCGCUCGUCGCGCUGCGGCCGAGGCGGCCAUGGCGGCGGGCGCCGGGGCCAGGCCGGCGCCGCGCUGGCUGAAGGCGCUGGGCGAGCCGCUGAGCGCGGCGCAGCUGCGGCGGCUGGAGGAGCACCGCUACAGCGCGGCGGGCGUGUCGCUGCUCGAGCCGCCGCUGCAGCUCUACUGGACCUGGCUGCUCCAGUGGAUCCCGCUCUGGAUGGCCCCCAACUCCAUCACCCUCCUCGGGCUCGCCGUCAACCUGCUCACCACGCUCGUGCUCAUCUUCUACUGCCCCACGGCCACCGAGGAGGCACCAUACUGGACAUACCUAUUAUGUGCACUGGGACUCUUUAUCUACCAGUCACUGGAUGCUAUUGAUGGAAAACAAGCCAGAAGAACAAAUUCUUGCUCACCUUUAGGGGAACUCUUUGACCAUGGUUGUGACUCUCUUUCUACAGUGUUUAUGGCAGUGGGAGCUUCAAUUGCUGCUCGCUUAGGAACUCAUCCUGACUGGUUGUUUUUCUGCUGUUUUAUUGGGAUGUUCAUGUUUUAUUGUGCUCAUUGGCAGACUUAUGUUUCAGGCGUGUUGAGAUUUGGAAAAGUGGAUGUAACUGAAAUUCAGAUAGCUUUAGUGAUUGUCUUUGUGUUGUCUACAUUUGGAGGAGCAACAAUGUGGGACUAUACGAUACCCAUUCUAGAAGUAAAAUUGAAGAUCCUUCCAGUUCUCGGAGUAGUGGGUGGAGCAAUAUUUUCCUGUUCAAAUUAUUUCCAUGUUAUCCUCCAUGGUGGCGUUGGCAAGAAUGGAUCCACAAUAGCAGGCACCAGUGUCUUGUCACCUGGACUACACAUAGGACUAAUUAUUAUACUGGCAAUAAUGAUCUAUAAAAAGUCAGCAACUAAUGUGUUUGAAAAGCAUCCUUGUCUUUAUACCCUAAUGUUUGGGUGUGUCUUUGCUAAAGUCUCACAAAAAUUAGUGAUAGCUCACAUGACUAAAAGUGAACUUUAUCUUCAAGACACUGUCUUUUUUGGGCCAGGUCUGUUGUUUUUAGACCAGUACUUUAAUAAUUUUAUAGAUGAAUAUGUUGUUCUGUGGAUAGCAAUGGUCAUUUCUUCAUUUGAUAUGAUGAUAUACUUUAGUGCUUUGUGCCUGCAAAUUUCAAGACACCUUCAUCUAAAUAUCUUCAAGACUUCCUGUCAUCAAGCACCUGAACAGGUUCACAAGCAUAUUGACUGACUAAUAGCCCAAGGAAAGGAGGAGAUGCAGUUAGGGGAACCUAUGAGUGAAGGAAAUCCCCCUAUGCAGGAGACCAAGCCCAAUUAAAUGACAUUUUGAUGUCUUAUGGAAAUGACAGAUUCACAAAUCCAUAUCUUAAAACUGAUUAUUUAUAUCUCUUGUUCAGUUGAUGAUUUAAUGUUCAGAGGUUCAAGUUCUUUCUUCAAAGAGUCAUCAGAAUAACAUGGAUUGAAGAGACUUUCGAACACUUGCCAUCUCUUGCUGCUGCUGUUUCA